Molecule: ribosomal RNA, 602 nt
Filed under: uncultured bacterium
Lineage: Bacteria
Description: bacterial SSU rRNA
Rfam family: Bacterial small subunit ribosomal RNA
Source: RNAcentral
UGGUGGCGAGUGGCGAACGGGUGAGUAAUAUAUCGGAACGUGCCCUGGAGUGGGGGAUAACUAGUCGAAAGACUAGCUAAUACCGCAUACGAUCUACGGAUGAAAGUGGGGGAUCGCAAGACCUCAUGCUCGUGGAGCGGCCGAUAUCUGAUUAGCUAGUUGGUGGGGUAAAAGCCUACCAAGGCAUCGAUCAGUAGCUGGUCUGAGAGGACGACCAGCCACACUGGGACUGAGACACGGCCCAGACUCCUACGGGAGGCAGCAGUGGGGAAUUUUGGACAAUGGGGGCAACCCUGAUCCAGCAAUGCCGCGUGAGUGAAGAAGGCCUUCGGGUUGUAAAGCUCUUUUGUCAGGGAAGAAACGGUNNGGGCUAAUANCCUGGGCUAAUGACGGUACCUGAAGAAUAAGCACCGGCUAACUACGUGCCAGCAGCCGCGGUAAUACGUAGGGUGCAAGCGUUAAUCGGAAUUACUGGGCGUAAAGCGUGCGCAGGCGGUUGUGCAAGACAGAUGUGAAAUCCCCGGGCUUAACCUGGGAAUUGCAUUUGUGACUGCACGGCUAGAGUGUGUCAGAGGGGGGUAGAAUUCCACGUGUAGCAGUGA